This is a long non-coding RNA of Pongo pygmaeus (Bornean orangutan), 3590 nucleotides long. RefSeq lists it as uncharacterized. The record is from RefSeq and is a predicted model, not a curated record. Lineage: Eukaryota; Metazoa; Chordata; Mammalia; Primates; Hominidae. The transcript is spliced from 6 exons.
UCCGCGAGGCUCCCAGGCCCGCCGGCGUCUGUGGGGAACUGGGGCGCUGGUCGGUGCGCGGGCUGGGACGCUAAGUCAUGAGGGAUUAAACUGGGAAACCUGGCGUGGGUCCAGGCGCCUUCCAGGAGGCAUCCGGCGCGGCCCGGACGUGUUUCUACCCGGAACCACCUCCUCCAGGCCGGGGUGCCGUUAACGGGGCUAUACAAAGAGUCUGACACUGUUAUUGCCCACUCUGAACUCGUCAACUGAGAAGGAAUGAGAUGGUUUAUGCUGUGAAUAAAAUACAGUUGUGCUCUGAUGUAAAUCCCCUCAUCCUGGAGCAGCUGAGCAAAGUCUAAGGCAGGAAGAACCUUCAAGCAGGUCAUGGCUUGCAGGCUCAACUCUGCCUAGCAGUGGCAAGGGCCAGGACCAGUGACUGAAGCAACAAACUGCCAGAUGACUGCAGCUCAAGCCAAUGCACAAAGCCACUGCACCAAGAGAGCAAAUUCUUACAUUUCCAAGUGUGUUAAUUUCUCCCCAUCAAGGAAAACAGCUAAGGCAAUGUGUUGAUAUUUUCUUUGACCUAGUCAUCAGGAGUCACAUAGACAUACAGCACUUAAGAAGUGGCUGUGACUAAAGGCACAUCUCAUUCAUUUACAACCCUUGUAAUCCCAACCUUUGUCUGAUGCACAAACCCUUCCCUAGUUCUCCCCACCACCACCACUGCACCUCCAAGUGGGGACAACGAAUUGUUUCAUUUGCAUGUGGUUUUUCUCAUCAAAAAUAUCAUUAACAUGAGACAGCCCCAAACCAAGGAAACCAGAAGUGGGGUUUGUGUUUGGUCUUACUGAGAGCUUUCCCUACUUGACCAGACCCCAGCAUUGUUCUAGAUUUGUCUCUUGUGGGCUACAGGAAUACAAACAUUUUGUAGUUUCCUCUUCUUUGUUUUCUUAAUGGCUUGAUGAGCCACACAUGUUUCUCUAAAUGCACUGAUUUAAAUUCACACAAUUUCUGCCAACUAAAUUUAAUGCAUUUUCCUCCUCUUCUAAUCAAUAAGGGCCAUCAGAAUGUUUUGGGUGAAGAUGAGUGGAAGCCCGUUCAUCUUCACUCCAGUUUCUCUCAAACUACACUCAGGCUCUCUUUUCUACAGAACCCAGGCUAAAAGACUUGGCACCAGGAGUGUCCUGCAGACACUCAGGAUGGAAUGCUAGAGUUGGGUUACUUGCCGACCGUAUGGCAAUAAAGACCCGUGGCACGGCAGCCUCUAGGAGCUGAGGGCACCCUCCAGCUGACAUCCAGAAAGAAAUUGAAGCCCUAGGCUGUGAAACCACAAGGACGUGAAUUCUGCCAACACAUAAUGCAAACAUAAUCUAUGGUGAAAGAAAUUGGACCAGUGGAUGCUCUGGGGAUUGAGGGCAAGCAUUGACUUGGAAAGGGAAUGGGAUAACUUCCUGCAGUGAUGGACAUGUUCUGUGUCUUGAGAUGUAGGUCACAGAGGUAUAUGUGUUCGUCAAAACUUUGGAACUUAAGAUCUGUGUUUGCUAUUAUUUGUAAAUUAUACCUCAAUUUUCAAAAAAAAAUUUUAGAAAGCAAAGAACAAGGGAACUAUCUGUUUGCUAAAGGAUGGUAGCAUGUCUUGGCCAAAUUACCCCCAAGACACUUGCAAAAAUAAAGAGACUAACUGAUGUCCUGUGGAGUCUGAAAGAACAUAAGGCUCUGGGAAAAAAAAGACACCUCUGAUUGGUUGUGCCCUCUCAGCUGAUCUUUUUGCUUUGAGCUUCAUUGACUCAAUCCACCCAAAGAAAAUCACCCCUUCAAUGAAAGCCAUGAAUUCCAUAUCCCAUAUUUAAUCAACACAUAGUCAGAAAAUAAGCUAUACACAACCAAAGCUGCUCAAACAAGUUUCAAUGAUAACUUGAUCAUCCUUACCAUGUAGCUACUUCAAACAUGAUUUGCUUUUCACCAAUUAUAGAUAUUACUUAAUUCAAAAUAAUAUUUGUUGUGGUACUCUAGUGUAAGCAAAGUACAGAGAAUAAAUAAUCAAAAGACCUAUGAGCUCAAAACUGUCAGGGACAUCAAAGACGAGAAAAGUCUGAGACACUAUCAGAGUUUCAGGAGCUUAAGGAGAAAAGACGACUAAAUGUAAUGGGGUAUCCUCGAUGGAAUCUUGGAACAGGAAAGGAUAUUAGAUAAAAACUAAGGGAAUCUGAAUAAAGUAUGGACUUUAGCUAAUAAUAAUGUUUCAGUGUUGGUUCCUUACUUGUAACAAAUGUACCAUACUAACUUAAGAUGUGAAUAAUAGGAGAAACUACGUGCAGGGCCAGAGGUGGGAAGGUAUGGGAACUGUACCAUUUUAUCUACUUCUCUGUUAAUGAAAAACUGCUCACAGCUAGGUGGGAGGAAUAAGUUCUAGUGUUCUAUACCACCGUAGGAUGACUAUAAUUAACAGUACCAUAUUAUACAGUUUCAAAUAGCUAGAAGGAGGGUAUUGGAAAUUGCCCACACAAAAAAUGAUAAAUAUUUGAGAUGACAGAUAUGCUAUUAAUAAUUAUCCUGAUCUGAUCACAUUAUAUAUAGAAACACUGCUGUGUAUCCAUAUGUGUGUACAAUUAUUACAUGUCAAUUAUAAAAAAGAAAUGCAAAGUUCUUGUUCCAUCCACCACUCACAGGAAGAUAAUCAUUACUCAUGUUAAGUGCUUUAGUUUGGACUUUGCUAUGGCUUGAAUAUGUUUUGUCCACACCAAAAAGCAAACCAUCAAACAAAAAAAAAUUGCUCUAAAAUUAAAAAUUUGUUUUUUAAAAAACAAAACCUAUGAGAGCAAAUUUUUAUAUAAUUUAUUAGGAAGAUCUUGGAGACAAGCACUGCAAGGGCGUGCUCUGGGAGAUUUAUCACAUACAAAAGACUAAGAGAGGACAGGAUUAAAAUAUGAGGUCAGAAGAAAAACUCAGCACCCCAGGAACAGAAUCAGUGCUUUUUCCUCCAAAUAGUUAUUUUGAAUGUAAUCAGCAUCAAUCAGCCUCUCUUCUGCCAGCUCCUAUUAUUUCUAUUUUAUCCCCUGCCAAUCUGGAUGUGGGACAUGUGCAAGUUCCUCCAAAGAAACUACUGGUGUAAAAGUAUAAAUGGGAAACGUAGUUGUUUUUGAUGAUUUUGUAGGAAAAAUGGAGAAGACAUUUAUGUUGAACAUGGAAAACAUGUUUUAAAUCUCUUUAUAUUGGAGAUUAGUAAGGAUAUUAUUUGGACGAUAGGGGAAAUUUGAAUAUGGACUGAAUAUUAGAUAUUGUAUUGUAUCAAGUUUAAGUUUCUGAGUGGAAUAAUUAUGUUAUGGUCAUGUAAGAGAACAGCCUUGUUCUUAGGAGACACAUGCUGAAGUAUUUGGUGGUGAAGUGUCAUGAUGCUUACAACCAAUUCUCAAAUAGUUCAGAAAAUUAUACACCUGUGCACAUUUGUCUCUUUAUCUAUUUUUCUGUAUAUCUAUACACAAAAUGUGUAUACACAAAUAUUUAUUAAAAUAUAUACCCUCUUUUUCUGUGUAUUAUAUGUAAGGAGUAUAUGAAUAAUUACUAUUCUUGCAACUUUUCUAAAUGAUUGAUGUUUGUCAAAAUAAAACAUU